AAAGCAGAGCUCCAAAACAGAAAUGAGGGUUUUGGGGAAGUGAAAGCUCAGACAACAUGAGAGGAGGCAGCAGAGGGAAGGGUUGGGUGUUGCCCCCCUCUGCAGCCCAUGAUCUCCAAUUUCCCCCCAAUAUUCAACACCCUUCCUUCUUCCAGAUUACAUCUGGGAUUGAACUCGGGUCUUCUGAUAUUCAUAUCGGUUGUGAUCUUGACCUGGGACCAUGCUUGUUGACUAUCUUACUCUGCUUUUCUUUUCUUUUCUUUUACCGAAUACGGUGAAAUUAUCUCAACACUGCGUCUGAUCUUGAUCUUCGUACAUUGUGAGGAAAAACGUCAUUUUUUAGAGGCGAUGAUGAUGAAUUUCUCGUUGUUGUCUGAGUGAAUCAAACGAAGCUUGAGACUUGCCGUAUCUUGGCGGGGUAAUUUCCGGAGGUUUGGCGGUAGAAACUGGUGUUUUCACCGUUGAAGCAGCCGCGUUGUUUGCAGCCAUGGCGGAUCUUCUUUCAUUCUACGAUUCAGCAGGUUUUAAUUUCUUCUCUAUUACAUUUGAAUUGUUUUUUCUUAUGGUCGUCGGAAACGCAAUCCCUGAUCGGGUUCGUACCGUGAAUUGGAUCGGACGAACCAAAACGAAAAUCGUGCCAUGACCAGCGAAUUAUGGUUGUUUUUUCGGAACGCCAUUUAGGUUUUUUAAAUGUGAAUAGUUAAGAGGAUAAACCUGAUUUGUCUAUGAUUUAGUAAGUAAAAAUAACUGAUGUAUUUUUGAA
Long non-coding RNA from Helianthus annuus (common sunflower), 763 nucleotides. RefSeq lists it as uncharacterized. The transcript has 2 exons. NCBI's taxonomy places the organism in Eukaryota, Viridiplantae, Streptophyta, Magnoliopsida, Asterales, Asteraceae. The record is from RefSeq and is a predicted model, not a curated record.